UCCAGACUCCUACGGGAGGCAGCAGUGAGGAAUAUUGGUCAAUGGGCGGAAGUCUGAACCAGCCAUGCCGCGUGCAGGAAGACGGCUCUAUGAGUUGUAAACUGCUUUUGUACAAGGGUAAACCUGAAUACGUGUAUUCAGCUGAAAGUACUGUACGAAUAAGCAUCGGCUAACUCCGUGCCAGCAGCCGCGGUAAUACGGAGGAUGCGAGCGUUAUCCGGAUUUAUUGGGUUUAAAGGGUGCGUAGGCGGUUUUUUAAGUUAGUGGUUAAACGUCGGGGCUUCACCUUGAUUUGCCAUUAAUACUGUAAGACUCGAGUUCAGACGAGGUAGGCGGAAUAAGUUAAGUAGCGGUGAAAUGCUUAGAUAUAACUUAGAACUCCGAUAGCGAAGGCAGCUUACCAGACUGCGACUGACGCUGAAGCACGAGAGCGUGGGUAGCGAACAGGAUUAGAUACCCUAGUA
RNAcentral lists this ribosomal RNA (464 nucleotides) under uncultured bacterium. RNAcentral's name for it is "bacterial SSU rRNA". It matches the Rfam family "Bacterial small subunit ribosomal RNA", at positions 330 to 792 of the family's 1533-position model. The record is from RNAcentral.